Molecule: long non-coding RNA, 1168 nt
Organism: Cydia splendana
Lineage: Eukaryota; Metazoa; Arthropoda; Insecta; Lepidoptera; Tortricidae
Exons: 3
Source: RefSeq, a predicted model, not a curated record
CUGCACCUCUAGCACAACUUGCAUCCGCGAGUUAGACCGCGACUCGAGUCGACAUUCCCGCGGCUGUCAAAUCUGUCGAAAUCCGUAGCAUAACUUGUACCCGCGACUGCAACAGCCGCGUAGAGAACUCAAUGUCGCGGCGCGACUCGUCAAUGUUCCCCGGCGAAAUAAAAGUCUAAACAAAUUGAUAUUUGCAAGUGGCAACACUGAAUCGGAAACAGGGAUGCGCUAAAUCAUUCGUUCUUAAAAAAAGAAAAACAAACAAUUAUUCUUUAUGGUGUUAGUUUAUACACGUCAAAUUGGGUAAAUGACGUUGACCUUUGAAAAAAAUCCAAAUAAUGCCGCCGAAGGUGAAGCGACAAAUGUAAGUAUAUAUUAUUGCUUGAAUAACCAUCUUUAAAGGUACAUUACUACUCAGUUUGAUAUGAUAUUAUUUUGCCUUUGCCCACAUUGACAAAUCGUUUGUAAAUAAAUAACUAAUACCUACCUUAAUAAUAUUUGCCCUUUUAAGCAAUUUAUGAAAUACAUAGAAAAAUUACUACCUAUCAUUAUUUUUGUUACACUUUCCACACUACGAAGUUCCUCGGCGCAAAUAGAAAAACUCGUGGACUAUAUGUCCACGAACCCAUUAUUUGCUGCCGGGGAAUUUCGCGGCCCUCUCGGAUACGAGCAGAUGGCAGCCGAGUGGGACCAGCUAAAAACCAUGUUGGCCAACUAUGGGCCUGAUAAGUCCGUCGAACAAUGGAAGCACACGUGGCGUGAUUUGAAGAAAAAAGCCCGUGCGGUCGGGGGGCGGACCCGCCUCACUCUUAAUAGAACGGGAAACGCAGAGGCCGUCCCCGAACUGAGCACCAGUACAUACAAAAUACUUGGGGCAAUUGGUACGGAGUGCGCCACGGGCAUCGGCGUCGAGCAGGAGACAGGGAUUGGCUCGGGAGUUGUUGAUUCUGGAGCGUCGGAGUUUUCGUUAGAGGCGGGAGGGUCGCAGCAACUACAGGCGGAUCAUAUUGAUCACGCGGAAGUAGUUGUGGUAACUCCCUCGCUUCCGACGACGCCUCGCUUCCGCCUUCCACGCCCGAACACCGCGCCGACUACCCGGCGGCGCCCGCAACAUCACCAACAGCAUUCUGCUGCUUUUGUAGUCGCCCAAAGGGAAACCAAUAUCAUA